This 734-nucleotide long non-coding RNA is filed under the name Rattus norvegicus (Norway rat). RNAcentral describes it as "long non-coding RNA NONRATT005176". Lineage: Eukaryota; Metazoa; Chordata; Mammalia; Rodentia; Muridae. The record is from RNAcentral.
GACCCAGGAUCACUGGAUCAUGAAGAAUCAUAUUGAGGCCAUCCAACUCUUCCUAACCUGUAUACUGCUUAGCUUCCUCCCAGCAGAUCAUCAGGUCCUGCACCUAAAGGAAAAUACCACCUCCAUUACCCUGGCAGCAGUGAGCCAGUUCAUGUUUGCCUUUGAGUAGACGGAUCCAGUGCCUGGUCAGCAAUAAGAACAAUCCUUAGAUGAUGCUGACAACUAAAGCCUGCCUUCAGAGACUGAGGAACUCUUACCUUCAUCUCUUAAGGUAAAACGUCCCAUCUGAGGGAAGUCCUUAAAGGUCUCCAGGCAGAUGGUUCCUGCUGUCCUUAAACGAGCAAUGCAUACUUGAUCUUGCUUUACAAAACGGGGUCGAGUCUUACUUUUUUCUCCUGAUUUUUUGUCUACCAAGCAGAUUAAGGCCUAGCCAAGAAUAAAAAAAGGACAAGAAAAAAAAUUAAAAUGUUAAAUGUAAGUAACUCUAAAAAUAUAAAAAAUGUAACCUGGACAUGAUACUGAAUACCUGUAAUCCUAAUACUUGAGAAGCUAAAGCAGGAAGAUGAGCUCCAAGCAAGUCUGAGCUACCAGUGGGACCCUGUCUCACAAUAACAAAGACAGACAACUUGGUAGCUCAGGUAAAAAAAAAAAAAAAGCACAUGCCACGUAAGUCUCUUGACCUGAGUUUGGUCACCAAAGUGGAAGAAAACAAAUGACUCCAAAAAGUUGUCCUC